CGCACGGGUGAGUAACACGUAUCCAACCUGCCGUCUACUCUUGGACAGCCUUCUGAAAGGAAGAUUAAUCCAGGAUGGCAUCAUGAGUUCACAUGUCCGCAUGAUUAAAGGUAUUUUCCGGUAGACGAUGGGGAUGCGUUCCAUUAGAUAGUAGGCGGGGUAACGGCCCACCUAGUCAACGAUGGAUAGGGGUUCCGAGAGGAAGGUCCCCCACAUUGGAACUGAGACACGGUCCAA
This 237-nucleotide ribosomal RNA is filed under the name uncultured bacterium. RNAcentral describes it as "partial 16S ribosomal RNA". It matches the Rfam family "Bacterial small subunit ribosomal RNA", at positions 99 to 334 of the family's 1533-position model. The record is from RNAcentral.